RNAcentral lists this ribosomal RNA (255 nucleotides) under uncultured bacterium. RNAcentral's name for it is "partial small subunit ribosomal RNA". It matches the Rfam family "Bacterial small subunit ribosomal RNA", at positions 26 to 285 of the family's 1533-position model. The record is from RNAcentral.
AGGACGAACGCUGGCGGCGUGCUUAACACAUGCAAGUCGAGCGGAAAGGCCCUUCGGGGUACUCGAGCGGCGAACGGGUGAGUAACACGUGAGCAACCUGCCCUUAGCUCCGGGAUAGCUCCGGGAAACCGGAAUUAAAUACCGGAUACAACCACGGCCGACAUCUGCUGUGGUGGAAAGGAUUCCGGCUAAGGAUGGGCUCGCGGCCUAUCAGCUAGUUGGUGGGGUAACGGCCUACCAAGGCGACGACGGAUA